AGAACGAACGCUGGCGGCAUGCCUAAUACAUGCAAGUCGAACGAAGGCUUCGGCCUUAGUGGCGCACGGGUGCGUAACGCGUGGGAAUCUGCCCCUUGGUUCGGAAUAACAGUUGGAAACGACUGCUAAUACCGGAUGAUGACGAAAGUCCAAAGAUUUAUCGCCAAGGGAUGAGCCCGCGUAGGAUUAGCUAGUUGGUGAGGUAAAGGCUCACCAAGGCGACGAUCCUUAGCUGGUCUGAGAGGAUGAUCAGCCACACGU
RNAcentral lists this ribosomal RNA (261 nucleotides) under uncultured soil bacterium. RNAcentral describes it as "partial 16S ribosomal RNA". It matches the Rfam family "Bacterial small subunit ribosomal RNA", at positions 26 to 315 of the family's 1533-position model. The record is from RNAcentral.